RNAcentral lists this ribosomal RNA (216 nucleotides) under Glomeromycotina sp. RNAcentral describes it as "partial small subunit ribosomal RNA". The stretch from base 44 to 216 matches the Rfam family "Eukaryotic small subunit ribosomal RNA", at positions 690 to 864 of the family's 1831-position model. Lineage: Eukaryota; Fungi; Glomeromycota. The record is from RNAcentral.
GGGUCAGUAGGUUGGUCGUGCCACCGGUACGUACUGGUCCCACUGAUUCCUCCUUCCUGAAGAACCGUAAUGCCAUUAAUUUGGUGUUGCGGGGAAACAGGACUGUUACUUUGAAAAAAUUAGAGUGUUUAAAGCAAGCUAACGCUUGGAUACAUUAGCAUGGAAUAAUGAAAUAGGACGAUCGAUCCUAUUUUGUUGGCUUCUAGGAUCGACGUA